Molecule: long non-coding RNA, 5254 nt
Filed under: Gossypium barbadense (sea-island cotton)
Lineage: Eukaryota; Viridiplantae; Streptophyta; Magnoliopsida; Malvales; Malvaceae
Description: long non-coding RNA (GBAR_LNC022793)
Source: RNAcentral
UUUUCUCUCUUCUCCCAUUUGAGAAUUCUUAAGGAAUUCUAUUUGUUUGUAAUAUUUUGGAGAUAGUAAAGUUAUCAUCUGGUUUUAGUAGCCCGAGGACGUAGGUAUAAUUUACCGAACCUCGUUAAAACUCUUGUGUUCUUUUUGUCCUAUUUUUCUUUCAAUAAUUGAGGGUAUAAUAGUAGUAUUUAAUUGUGCUAUUAAAUUACAUUAGAAGGAAUAUUCUGACUAAGGAAAGACUUGGUAUUUAAGAGAUCCUUGUGAUCCACCUCUCUUCCCUGGGAAUUGAACUUUGUGUGAUUUUUUAGUACAAUAAUUUACACGCUUCCGACCCUAUUGGAACUACAAGUGGUAUCAGAGCCGAAGGUUAAUCGUAGUAUGCUCUGUGGUUGCAGUUUGAACUGAUCUUCCACAUCAGAAAAGAUUUCCUUAGGUAUAUUGAAAGAUUAUGGAGAAAACGGUCGGUGUAGGAGCUUCAACAUGUCCAUGUGGACAAGACCGACAAUUGCAAAUGCAAGACUGGCCGUGGAGAUCUUUGAUGGCACGGGCCAUUUUGGUAUGUGGCAAAGUGAGGUUCUAGAUGCUCUUUUUCAGCAGGGUCUAGACAUUGCCAUUGAUGAAGAGAAACCAGAUGAUGUACAGGAGAAAGAUUGGAAGGCGAUCAAUCGGUUGGCAUGUGGCACAAUUCGAUCAUGCCUUUCUCGAGAGCAGAGGUAUGCUUUUUCAAAGGAGACUUCUGCAAAUAAGUUGUGGGUGGCACUUGAAGAAAAAUUUUUGAAGAAAAACAGUCAAAAUAAGCUCCACUUGAAGAAAAGACUGUUUCGCUUCACAUACGUCCCAAGUACCACAAUGAAUGAUCACAUCACCAAAUUUAAUCAGUUAGUCACUGAUUUGCUGAAUAUGGAUGAGACAUUCAAAGAUGAAGAUUUGGCUUUGAUGCUGUUGGGGUCACUUCCUGAGGAGUUUGAGUUCCUAGAAACUACUCUACUUCAUGGCAGGAGUGGUAUAUCUCUGAGCGAAGUCUGUGCGGCCUUAUACAGUUAUGAACAGAGAAAGAAGGACAAACAGAAAAACUCAAUCAGAGAUACAGAAGCUUUAGUAGUCCAAGGUCGUUCAUACACUCGGAAGAAAACUCAAAAGGGGAGAUCAAAGUUAAAGUCCAGACUCGGGAAAGAUGAAUGUGCCUUUUGUCAUGAGAAAGGCCACUGAAAGAAAAAUUGUCCAAAGCUGAAGAAUAAGGGAAAAGCUGCUGUAGAUGCUUGUGUUGCAAAGCAUGAUACUAGUGACUCUGAACUAUCACUGGUUGCAUCAUCAUCGUCGUUCCAUUCAGAUGAGUGGAUAUUGGAUUCGGGUUGUACCUUUCAUAUGUCCCCUAACCGGGAGUGGUUCUCUGAUUUAGUAGAACUAAAUGGAGGAGUUGUUUAUAUGGGCAAUGACAAUGCCUGUAAAACUGUUGGGAUAGGUUCAAUCUAAUUAAAGAAUCAAGAUGGAUCAACCAAAGUUCUGACUGAUGUUCGGUACGUGCCCAGUUUGAAGAAAAAUCUCAUCUCAUUGGGAGCCUUGGAAUCCAAUGGUUCAGUUGUUACUAUGAGAGAUGGGAUUUUGAAAGUGACAUCUGGCGCACUUGUGAUAUUGAAGGGCAUCAGGAAAAAUAGCUUGUAUUACUACCAAGGUAGUACAGUUAUUGGAGCAGUCGCUACAGCUUCCGUUAACAAAGAAUUGGACUCAAUACAGUUGUGGCAUCUGAAGUUGGGACAUGCCAGCGAAAAAUCCUUGCAAAUUCUGGCAAAGCAAGGAUUGUUGAAAGGUGCAAAGGCUUACAAAUUAAAAUUUUGCGAGCAUUGUGUUCUGGGAAAGCAAAAGAGAGUGAAAUUCGGUACUGCUAUCCAUAAUACAAAAGGUAUUUUGGAAUAUGUUCACUCAGAUGUGUGGGGGCCUUUCAAGACACCUUCAUUGGGAGGAAAACACUACUUUGUUACUUUUGUUGAUGACUUUUCCAGAAGAGUUUGGGUGUAUACCAUGAGAACUAAGGAUGAAGUGCUUAGAGUUUUUUUUAAAUGGAAAACUAUGAUCGAAAACCAGACUGGCAAGAAAAUCAAGCGGCUUAGGACGGACAAUGGAGGGGAAUAUAAAAGUGAUCCGUUCUUCGAUGUGUGCCAAGAGUAUGGUAUUGUUCGACACUUCACAGUUAGGGAUACACCACAGCAGAAUGGAUUGGCAGAGCGUAUGAAUCGAAUAUUGCUGGAGAAAGUUCGAUCUAUGUUGUCCAAUGCUGGGUUGGGCAAGCAAUUUUGGGCUGAGGCUGUGACAUACGCUGGCCAUCUUGUUAAUCGUUUGCCAUCAUCUGCAUUAGAAAGAAAAACUCCUAUGGAGGUAUGGUCUGGAAAACCGGCUACAGAUUAUGAUUCCUUACAUGUGUUUGGAACCACUGCAUAUUACCAUGUGAAGGAGUCAAAGUUAGAUCCGAGGGCAAAGAAAGCUCUCUUUAUGGGAAUCACUUCUAGAGUGAAGGGAUUUCGUCUUUGGUGCUUAAGCACAAAGAAAAUGAUCUGUAGCAGAGAUGUUACCUUUGAUGAAUCUGCCACAUUGAAAAAGGUAGCAGAUAAAGAUAUUCAGACGAGCAAUACUCCACAGCAGGUGGAGUGUACUCCAAAACAGGUGGAGUUUGAGCAGAUGGGGAUUUGCCCAGUUAAUAAGUCUAAUUCUCCAGCCACAAUGGAGGAAUUAGAGGUUGAAGAGGUUCUGACCCAAGAACCACUAAGUACACCAGAACUAGUUGCAGUUGCAAGGCCACAGAGAGAAAUUCGUAAACCUGCUCGAUUUACUAAUAUGGUGGCCUACGCCCUUCCCGUUGUUGAUGAUAUUCCUAUCACUUAUCAAGAAGCAAUGCAAAGCUUAGAAAAUGAUAAAUGGAAAAGCGCCAUGGAUGAAGAAAUGCAGUCUCUCCGGAAGAACAAUACUUGGGAGUUGGCGCAAUUACCGAAAGGUAAAAGGGCAAUCAGAUGCAAGUGGGUAUUCGUAAAGAAAGAUGGAUCUCCUAGCAAGAAGGAUAUUCGCUACAAGGCAAGAUUGGUAGCUAAAGGCUACGCUCAGAAGGAGGGAAUUGACUACAAUGAUGUAUUUUCCCCUGUUGUGAAGCAUUCCUCCAUUAGAAUUUUGUUGGCCUUGGUAGCACAGUUGAAUUUGGAGCUAGCUCAACUUGAUGUUAAGACGGCUUUCUUACAUGGUGAGUUAGAAGAGGAGAUCUAUAUGACUCAGCCCGAAGGAUACACAGAUGCUGGUGGUAGAAAUUGGGUUUGUAAGCUGAACAAAUCGCUAUAUGGAUUGAAGCAAUCCCCGAGGCAGUAGUACAAGCGAUUUGAUAGCUUUAUGAGAAGGCAGAAGUACACAAGAAGCAAAUAUGACAAUUUUGUGUAUUUGCAGAAGCUGCAUGACGGAUCUUUCAUUUAUCUACUCUUGUAUGUUGAUGAUAUGUUAAUUGCUUCGAAGAGCCAAAAUGAGAUAGAUAAGCUGAAGGCUCAGUUGAAUUAAGAGUUCGAGAUGAAAGAUCUAGGUGAGACCAAGAAGAUUCUCGGCAUGGAGAUAAGUAGAGAUAGACCGAGAGGCAAGCUCUGUUUAAAUCAGAAGCAAUAUCUGAAAAAGGUAUUACAAUGUUUUGGUGUAAAUGAAAACACAAAACAUGUAAGUACCCCACUUGCUUCUCAUUUGAAACUUAGUGCUCAAUUAUCUCCGAAGACUGAAGAUGAAAGAGAAUAUAUGGCGAAAGUCCCAUAUGCUAAUGCAGUUGGGAGUUUGAUGUAUGCGAUGGUGUGUACGAGGCCUGACAUUUCACAAGCUGUUGGAGUUGUGAGCAGGUAUAUGCAUGAUCCUGGAAAAGGACAUUGGCAAGCUGUGAAAUGGAUUCUACGGUAUCUUCGAAAAACCGUAGAUGUUGGUUUAAUUUUUGAAUAGGAUGAAGCACUUGGUCAGUUUGUAGUUGGAUAUGUUGAUUCCGACUUUGUUGGUGAUUUAGAUAAACGUCGUUCAACUACGGGGUAUCUGUUUACUCUUGCGAAAGCCCCAAUGAGUUGGAAGUCUACCUUACAGUCUACAGUAGCUGUGUCUACUAUAGAGGCAGAAUAUAUGGCAGUUACAGAAGCUGUUAAGGAGGCUAUUUGGCUUAAUGGAUUGUUGAAAGACUUAGGAGUUGUUCAAAGUCACAUAAGUUUAUAUUGUGACAGUCAGAGCGCUAUUCAUUUAGCGAAAAAUCAAGUCUAUCAUUCAAGAACCAAACAUAUCGACGUAAGAUAUCACUUUGUGCGGGAAGUCUUUGAAAAAGGAAAAAUUCUACUUCAGAAGAUUCCAACAGCAGAUAAUCCCGCAGAUAUGAUGACCAAAGUGGUAACAACAAUCAAGUUUAAUCAUUGUUUGAACUUGAUUAACAUCCUGAGAAUUUGAGCACCUUCAGGUGUAUGGCGCUCGAGAGCGCAUUUGGAGGCACUACAAAAGAUAGCUUUAUCAAAUUUGGGGAGUUGAAGGAAGUGUGUGAAGAUGUGAUUAUCCUAAUCAAAUCUUCAAGGUGGAGAUUGUUAACAUUAUGAUUAAUGGCAGACAAUUUUAAUUGAAAACAAUCCAAGUGGUGCAAGUUUAGCACCCUAAAGUUGACUUUGAAAAAGUGGCAUAGGAUAAUUUUUUUUUGGUCCUUGAGAUAAUGGGCUAUUUAUUGUUUGGUCCUUGAACCUCAACUAUAAAUAGGCCUUCUCAUUUCUCAUUUCAAUUCAUCCUAACCAAUCUUUCUCUCUUAGUUUUCUCUCUUCUCUCAUUUGAGAAUUCUUAAGGAAUUCUAUUUGUUUGUAAUAUUUUGGAGAUAGUAAAGUUAUCAUCUGGUUUUAGUAGCCCGAGGACGUAGGUAUAAUUUACCGAACCUCGUUAAAACUCUUGUGUUUUUUUGUCCUAUUUUUCUUUCAAUAAUUGAGGGUAUAAUAGUAGUAUUUAAUUGUGCUAUUAAAUUACGUUAGAAGGAAUAUUCUGACUAAGGAAAGACUUGGUAUUUAAGAGAUCCUUGUGAUCCACCUCUCUUCCCUGGGAAUUGAACUUUGUGUGAUUUUUUAGUACAAUACUUUACACGCUUCCGACCCUAUUGGAACUACAAUAUUUACUUCGAUACAUGCACUUACAUACAACAUAAUUGAUUCAAUUUAUCGAAUGAUGCACCAUAUAAUACUUGGUGUAGUUUGCCCUGACUUAGCAAUUUGGCUUUUGGUUAAAAAAGAAA